This 634-nucleotide ribosomal RNA is filed under the name uncultured cyanobacterium. RNAcentral describes it as "bacterial SSU rRNA". It matches the Rfam family "Bacterial small subunit ribosomal RNA", at positions 127 to 795 of the family's 1533-position model. The record is from RNAcentral. Lineage: Bacteria; Bacillati; Cyanobacteriota.
UGACUCCUUAGGUCUGGGAUCAGAGGAACUUCUGCUAAUCCCGGAUGAGCCCUUGGGUAAAAGAUAAAUUGCCUGGAGAUGAGCUCGCGUCUGAUUAGCUAGUUGGUGGGGUAAAAGCGUACCAAGGCGACGAUCAGUAGCUGGUCUGAGAGGAUGAGCAGCCACACUGGGACUGAGACACGGCCCAGACUCCUACGGGAGGCAGCAGUGGGGAAUUUUCCGCAAUGGGCGAAAGCCUGACGGAGCAAGACCGCGUGGGGGAGGAAGGCUUUAGGGUUGUAAACCCCUUUUCUUUGGGAAGAACAAAAUGACGGUACCAAAGGAAUCAGCCUCGGCUAACUCCGUGCCAGCGGCCGCGGUAAUACGGAGGAGGCAAGCGUUAUCCGGAAUGAUUGAGCGUAAAGCGUCCGCAGGUGGCCAUGUAAGUCUGCUGUCAAAACCCAGGGCUCAACUCUGGUCAGGCAGUGGAAACUACAAAGCUAGAGUCUGGUAGGGGCAAAGGGAAUUCCCGGCGUAGCGGUGAAAUGCGUAGAUUUCGGGAAGAACAUCGGUGGCGAAAGCGCUUUGCUAGGCCAGAACUGACACUCAGGGACGAAAGCUAGGGGAGCGAAAGGGAUUAGAUACCCCAGUAGUC